GCCCGGGUGGUGGAAUUGGUAGACACGAGGGACUUAAAAUCCCUUGGCCGUAAGGCCGUGCGGGUUCAAGUCCCGCCCCGGGUA
RNAcentral lists this transfer RNA (84 nucleotides) under Bacteroidota bacterium. Its description in RNAcentral is "Bacteroidetes bacterium (marine metagenome) tRNA-Leu". It matches the Rfam family "tRNA". From Rfam's summary of the family: Transfer RNA (tRNA) molecules are approximately 80 nucleotides in length. Their secondary structure includes four short double-helical elements and three loops (D, anti-codon, and T loops). Further hydrogen bonds mediate the characteristic L-shaped molecular structure. tRNAs have two regions of fundamental functional importance: the anti-codon, which is responsible for specific mRNA codon recognition, and the 3' end, to which the tRNAs corresponding amino acid is attached (by aminoacyl-tRNA synthetases). tRNAs cope with the degeneracy of the genetic code in two manners: having more than one tRNA (with a specific anti-codon) for a particular amino acid; and 'wobble' base-pairing, i.e. permitting non-standard base-pairing at the 3rd anti-codon position. The record is from RNAcentral. RNAcentral also lists the same sequence under 1 other name. Lineage: Bacteria; Pseudomonadati; Bacteroidota.